GAGGGGGCUGUGGUCCAUCAGCUAGCUUGGUAGGGUAACGGUCUACCAAGGCGAGGACGGAUAGGGGGCCUGACAGGGUGACCCCCCACACGGGCACUGAUACACUGGGCCCGACUCCUACGGGAGGCAGCAGUAAUGGGAUAUUGCGACAAUGUGGCGAAAGCCUGACGCAGCAAGCGCCUCGUGGAGGAUGAAGGCCUUCGGGUUGUAAACUCCUUUUCUGUGGGAACAGGAAGGACGGUACCACAGGAACAAGUCUCGGCUAACUACUUGCCAGCGGCCGCGGUAAUACGUAGGAGGCGAGCGUUGUCCGGCAUUACUGGGUGUAUAGCGCGUGCUGGCGGUCUGGUAAGUCGAGCGUGAGAGCUCCCGGCUCAACCGGGAGAGGACGUGCGAAAUUGCGAGGCUAGAGACUGGUAGAGGCGUACGGAAUUCCGGGUGUAGUGGUGAAAUGCGUAGAUAUCCGGAGGAACACCAGUGGCGAAGGCGGUACGCUGGGCCUGGUCUGACGCUAAGACGCGAAAGCAUGGGGAGCGAACGGCAUUAGAAACCCCGGUAGUCCAUGCCGUAAACGAUGCCAACUAGGUGUUGCGGGUAAAAGACCGGCAGUGCCGGAGACAACGCGAUAGGUUAGCCACCUGGGGACUACGGUCGCAAGGAUAAUACUCAAAGGAAUUGACGGGGGCCCGCACAAGCAGCGGAGCGUGUGGUCUAAUUCGAGGCUACACGAAGAACCUCACCUGGGCUGGACAUGACGGUGGUAGGGAACCGAAAGGGGACCGACCUUCGGGAGCCACCACAGGUGCUGCAUGACGGUCGUCAGCUCGUGUCGUGAGAUGUUCGCUUAAGUCCGGUAACGAGCGCGACCCUCAUCGAUAGUUACAAGUGUCUAGCGGGACUGCCCGUUCAACGCGGGAGGAAGGCGGGGACGACGUCAAGUCAGCAUGGCCUUUAUGUCCAGGGCUACACACACGCUACAAUGGCCGGUACAAUGGCUCGCCUACCCGCGAGGGGGAGCCAAUCCACCA
Molecule: ribosomal RNA, 1028 nt
Filed under: uncultured organism
Description: bacterial SSU rRNA
Rfam family: Bacterial small subunit ribosomal RNA
Source: RNAcentral